GUGCUGUGCCAGGGCCUUCCCUCUGGCUCUCUCCACCUCCGGCCCCUUCCUCAGGUCUCUCCCCGCCUCACUCCACCCCCUGAAGGCGGUUGGUACGUUCUAGAUGACUCCAAGAGCUUAAAAAGGGCCCGGGAGGGCGGACUCCUCAGAUUUGGUCUUGACCAGCCAGGGCUUCAAGCUGGUCUCCGGUGACUCCUAGUCCUUAGUUUUGAUACCCACCCUUGCGAGAGCUUUGAGCGUGGCGGGUCCCCGGCGUUUGGGGUCCGGGGUGUGUGUGGUUGUCUAGCCUGCAGCCGGGGUCCUCGGCGCGCUCGCGUCCUCCGCCGCUGGCCAGAAGAGACGCGCCCCAGCCCUGCGGGGAUGGAACGGACCGAGCUGCUGAAGCCCCGGACCCUGGCGGACCUCAUCCGCAUCUUACAUGAGCUCUUCGCGGGGGACGAAGUCAACGUGGAGGAGGUGCAGGCUGUACUGGAAGCCUACGAGAGCAAUCCCGCCGAGUGGGCUUUGUAUGCCAAAUUCGAUCAAUACAGGUAUACUCGAAAUCUUGUGGAUCAAGGAAAUGGGAAGUUUAAUCUGAUGAUUCUGUGCUGGGGUGAAGGGCACGGCAGCAGUAUUCAUGAUCACACGGACUCCCACUGCUUUCUGAAGCUGCUGCAAGGAAAUCUAAAGGAGACAUUGUUUGACUGGCCUGACAAAAAAUCCAACGAGAUGAUCAAGAAGUCUGAAAGAACCCUGAGGGAAAACCAGUGUGCCUACAUUAAUGCUACCGUCUUGAUUCCUUCGUUGUUUUCUGUCCUCUUUGGUCUGUAAAGAUUCCAUUGGCUUACACCGAGUAGAGAACGUCAGCCACACAGAGCCUGCCGUGAGCCUCCACUUGUACAGUCCACCCUUCGAUACAUGCCACGCCUUUGACCAGAGAACAGGGCAUAAAAACAAAGUCACCAUGACAUUCCACAGCAAGUUUGGAAUCAGGACUCCAUUUACAACUUCAGGGUCACUGGAGAACAACUAGGGCCCACCAAGCCCUUGGAAGUUUCGCUUUCUGAUCCUCUGAAUGUUUUCCCUUGGACAGAGAGGCCACCCACCAUUUGCUGUCCAGUUACACAGUUAAACAAAGGCUAUGCUCAGUUCUACUGCAAAGGGUGUGUCCUAAGGAAGCAAACAAUACCCUGAGCUAUGCAGGUGGAAAAUCCUACUAAAGAAAAAGUCACUUGAUUUUUUUAAAUUAGGUAUUUACUUCAUUUACAUUUCAAAUGCUAUCCUGAAAAGUUUAAGUUUUUAAGGACCAGGUUCUUUUGUCCUCUAACUCUAUUGGGGGUGGGGGAGAGGUUGUCCAUGGAAACUCUACUUGGGCUUCUGGUGGGUUUUUUUCAGCCUUAGGAAACACUCUGGUCUCUGAACUCUAAUAAUCAAUAAGUAAAAAUAAGAAACCUCAAACUAUCACGUGUCUGUUUUCAUACCUGGAAGUCUCAAUGUGGAAAUCCUUAAUAUACUUUGUAUGUUCUUAAUAUUUGACAAGAAUUUUUUUUUUCAACCCUAUUUGACAAAUUCCUAUGCUGUGGAGACUAGGGACGCAUAGAGCAGUUUGGUGCUUGGUAGUGACCAGCAGGGGGUUAGAGAUGUGCGUGAACCCAGACCUCCCGCAAACAAAAACUGAGACUCGUGUGUAAUGUGUGCCACCACCUUGAGCUGCCACCAAAAUUGCCAAACAACUUUAAUAAAACUGGAUUUGAAAAGAACUACACAUUGCC
RNA transcript from Mus musculus (house mouse), 1751 nucleotides. It is a transcript of the gene named cysteine dioxygenase 1, cytosolic, with no coding region annotated. The transcript has 5 exons. Lineage: Eukaryota; Metazoa; Chordata; Mammalia; Rodentia; Muridae. The record is from RefSeq and is marked validated.